GAUGAACGCUGGCGGCGUGCCUAAUACAUGCAAGUCGAGCGAACAGACGAGGAGCUUGCUCCUCUGACGUUAGCGGCGGACGGGUGAGUAACACGUGGAUAACCUACCUAUAAGACUGGGAUAACUUCGGGAAACCGGAGCUAAUACCGGAUAAUAUAUUGAACCGCAUGGUUCAAUAGUGAAAGACGGUUUUGCUGUCACUUAUAGAUGGAUCCGCGCCGCAUUAGCUAGUUGGUAAGGUAACGGCUUACCAAGGCAACGAUGCGUAGCCGACCUGAGAGGGUGAUCGGCCACACUGGAACUGAGACACGGUCCAGACUCCUACGGGAGGCAGCAGUAGGGAAUCUUCGGCAAUGGGCGAAAGCCUGACGGAGCAACGCCGCGUGAGUGAUGAAGGUUUUCGGAUCGUAAAACUCUGUUAUUAGGGAAGAACAAAUGUGUAAGUAACUAUGCACGUCUUGACGGUACCUAAUCAGAAAGCCACGGCUAACUACGUG
Molecule: ribosomal RNA, 497 nt
Filed under: uncultured bacterium
Lineage: Bacteria
Description: partial 16S ribosomal RNA
Rfam family: Bacterial small subunit ribosomal RNA
Source: RNAcentral